GUUUCUUUUUGUACCAGUCUGAAAGUGUCUGAUCUCGUCACAUCUCAGAAGUCAUCCAGACUCGGGCCUAGUUAGGACUUGUAUGGGAGACCAACUAGAAUCCUCAGGUGCCGUAAGCU
RNAcentral lists this ribosomal RNA (119 nucleotides) under Pelobates cultripes (western spadefoot toad). Lineage: Eukaryota; Metazoa; Chordata; Amphibia; Anura; Pelobatidae. The record is from RNAcentral.